ACCAAGGAGUUUAGCGUGUACGCAAGUCAUUGGGUGAAUAAAACCCAAAGGCGAAAUGAAAGUAAAGAGUUGAGUUUAUAAAAAAGGAAUUUAUUCUUUUUUUAUUUUUCUCUUUUUUCUUGAGGGAAGAUGAAAAUUUAAUUUAUAAUAUAUUUAUAUAUUAUUUAUUUAAAUUUUUCGCAUUCCCAGGGCGCUUGUUUCACGCUUUGCGUGUCGAUGCGCACCUAGAGCGUACACGCUGAUACCCGAAAGAUGGUGAACUAUGCCUGGCCAGGACGAAGCCAGGGGAAACCCUGGUGGAGGUCCGCAGCGAUUCUGACGUGCAAAUCGAUCGUCGGAGCUGGGUAUAGGGGCGAAAGACCAAUCGAACCAUCUAGUAGCUGGUUCCCUCUGAAGUUUCCCUCAGGAUAGCUUGCGCUCGAUUCAGAGUCUCAUCCGGUAGAGCGAAUGAUUAGAGGCAUUGGGGUCGAAACGACCUCAACCUAUUCUCAAACUCCAAAUAGAUGAGAUCCCCG
Molecule: ribosomal RNA, 515 nt
Filed under: Debilia sp. 00004167
Lineage: Eukaryota; Metazoa; Arthropoda; Insecta; Hemiptera; Reduviidae
Description: eukaryotic LSU rRNA
Rfam family: Eukaryotic large subunit ribosomal RNA
Source: RNAcentral